AACGCUAGCUACAGGCUUAACACAUGCAAGUCGAGGGGCAGCGCAGUGUAGCAAUACAUGGGCGGCGACCGGCGCACGGGUGCGUAACGCGUAUCCAACCUUCCCGUUACUCAGGGAUAGCCUUCCGAAAGGGAGAUUAAUACCUGAUGGUGUUUGAAUUCCGCAUGUUAUUCAAACUAAAGAUUUAUCGGUAACGGAUGGGGAUGCGUGACAUUAGAUAGUAGGCGGGGUAACGGCCCACCUAGUCUACGAUGUCUAGGGGUUCUGAGAGGAAGGUCCCCCACACUGGAACUGAGACACGGUCCAGACUCCUACGGGAGGCAGCAGUGAGGAAUAUUGGUCAAUGGUCGGAAGACUGAACCAGCCAAGUAGCGUGAAGGAUGAAGGUUCUAUGGAUUGUAAACUUCUUUUAUACGGGAAUAAAACCUCCCACGUGUGGGAGCUUGUAUGUACCGUAUGAAUAAGCAUCGGCUAACUCCGUGCCAGCAGCCGCGGUAAUACGGAGGAUGCGAGCGUUAUCCGGAUUUAUUGGGUUUAAAGGGAGCGUAGACGGGAGAUUAAGUCAGUUGUGAAAGGCUGCGGCUCAACCGCAGCACUGCAGUUGAUACUGGUUUCCUUGAGUUCGGUUGAGGUGUAUGGAAUUCGUGGUGUAGCGGUGAAAUGCUUAGAUAUCACGAAGAACUCCGAUUG
Molecule: ribosomal RNA, 690 nt
Filed under: uncultured bacterium
Lineage: Bacteria
Description: bacterial SSU rRNA
Rfam family: Bacterial small subunit ribosomal RNA
Source: RNAcentral